GACGAACGCUGGCGGCGUGCUUAACACAUGCAAGUCGUACGGUAAGGCCCUUUCGGGGGUCCACGAGUGGCGAACGGGUGAGUAACACGUGAGUAACCUGCCCACAACUUUGGGAUAACGCUAGGAAACUGGUGCUAAUACUGGAUAUGUGCUCCUGCUGCAUGGUGGGGGUUGGAAAGCUCCGGCGGUUGUGGAUGGACUCGCGGCCUAUCAGCCUGUUGGUGGGGUAGUGGCCUACCAAGGCGGCGACGGGUAGCCGGCCUGAGAGGGUGACCGGCCACAUUGGGACUGAGAUACGGCCCAGACUCCUACGGGAGGCAGCAGUGGGGAAUAUUGCACAAUGGGCGCAAGCCUGAUGCAGCAACGCCGCGUGCGGGAUGACGGCCUUCGGGUUGUAAACCGCUUUCAGCAGGGACGAAGCUUUUUGUGACGGUACCUGCAGAAGAAGCACCGGCUAACUACGUG
This 465-nucleotide ribosomal RNA is filed under the name uncultured bacterium. RNAcentral's name for it is "partial 16S ribosomal RNA". It matches the Rfam family "Bacterial small subunit ribosomal RNA", at positions 28 to 507 of the family's 1533-position model. The record is from RNAcentral.